UUUUAUUUAAAAAAUUCAAUAUAAUAAAAAAGGGAAUCAAUAUUAAAGAUAUACUGAAAUUAUAUGCUGUCUUGUUUAGUUGUUUCAUAUACGCAAAGGCCGUCGGGUUUUAAAUCCAUUAUAAAAUCAAUAUUUAAAACAAACUUACCUUCGUUAACGUCGGCUCCCUUCUUUUAGCCGAUUCUUUCGCCCUUUCUUUAUGAG
Molecule: non-coding RNA, 204 nt
Organism: Paramuricea clavata
Lineage: Eukaryota; Metazoa; Cnidaria; Anthozoa; Malacalcyonacea; Plexauridae
Source: the annotation of a GenBank genome assembly